AUGUUCUAACGUUGGCCCCUAAUCGGGGUUGCGGACAGUGCCUGGUGGGUAGUUUGACUGGGGCGGUCUCCUCCCAAAGAGUAACGGAGGAGCACGAAGGUGGGCUAAUCACGGUUGGACAUCGUGAGGUUAGUGCAAUGGCAUAAGCCCGCUUAACUGCGAGAAUGACGGUUCGAGCAGGUGCGAAAGCAGGUCAUAGUGAUCCGGUGGUUCUGAAUGGAAGGGCCAUCGCUCAACGGAUAAAAGGUACUCCGGGGAUAACAGGCUGAUACCGCCCAAGAGUUCAUAUCGACGGCGGUGUUUGGCACCUCGAUGUCGGCUCAUCACAUCCUGGGGCUGAAGUCGGUCCCAAGGGUAUGGCUGUUCGCCAUUUAAAGUGGUACGCGAGCUGGGUUUAGAACGUCGUGAGACAGUUCGGUCCCUAUCUGCCGUGGGCGUUGGAAGAUUGAAGGGGGCUGCUCCUAGUACGAGAGGACCGGAGUGGACGAACCUCUGGUGUUCGGGUUGUGUCGCCAGACGCAUUGCCCGGUAGCUAAGUUCGGAAUCGAUAACCGCUGAAAGCAUCUAAGCGGGAAGCGAGCCCUGAGAUGAGUCUUCCCUGAUACUUUAAGUAUCCUAAAGGGUUGUUCGAGACUAGAACGUUGAUAGGCAGGGUGUGUAAGCGCUGUGAGGCGUUGAGCUAACCUGUACUAAUUGCCCGUGAGGCUUAACCAU
RNAcentral lists this ribosomal RNA (714 nucleotides) under Vibrio vulnificus. Its description in RNAcentral is "partial 23S ribosomal RNA". It matches the Rfam family "Bacterial large subunit ribosomal RNA", at positions 2217 to 2925 of the family's 2925-position model. The record is from RNAcentral. Lineage: Bacteria; Pseudomonadati; Pseudomonadota; Gammaproteobacteria; Vibrionales; Vibrionaceae.